UUUCCGUAGGUGAACCUGCGGAAGGAUCAUUAACGAACAACGGGGCUCGCCCCUUGUCCACAAACACGCCCCCCCGUGCACGUUGAAGGCCCGGCUGGUUGAGUGGGUGGGCGACCGCCCAGGAUUCGUAGCCUCGCUUUCUUUACACAAACUUCAGAAUGUACAUCGGAAUGUGUUACGCGUCGUGACGCGUCGUAAUAUAACUUUCAGCAACGGAUCUCUUGGCUCUCGCAUCGAUGAAGAACGCAGCGAAAUGCGAUAAGUAAUGUGAAUUGCAGAAUUCAGUGAAUCAUCGAAUCUUUGAACGCACCUUGCGCCCCUUGGCAUUCCGAGGAGCAUGCCUGUUUGAGUGUCAUGAAACUCUCAACCCCCGCCAUCUUUGGAGAUGUGGGUCGGUUGGAUUUUGGAGGUUGCCGGAUGCGUUCGGCUCCCCUUGAAUGCAUAUUAAAGCUUGGACCUGACUGACCGACAUCUCUGAGCUCUGACCUCAAAUCAGGUAGGACUACCCGCUGAACUUUAA
RNAcentral lists this ribosomal RNA (520 nucleotides) under Laetiporus cincinnatus. RNAcentral's name for it is "eukaryotic LSU rRNA". The stretch from base 202 to 355 matches the Rfam family "5.8S ribosomal RNA". The record is from RNAcentral. Lineage: Eukaryota; Fungi; Basidiomycota; Agaricomycetes; Polyporales; Laetiporaceae.